UCUGAGGCACGUUAUCUGCGAGCCAGGCUGAGUUCUGCAUCCUGGGGGGCAGCACGAAGAGGUACUCGAAGGGCAAGAGAAUUGAAAUACAUCCAGGAGGACUUUUACCUGGCUUUGAAGGAAGGACGUGAUCUGCGUGAGUGCAGAGGCAGUGGGAGAGAUUCCAGGGAAAUCAGGCUCAGCCUAUAUGUAGUUGUGAGUUUGUAUGUGUGGGAUGGGGAGAGACUGGGGGAGUGCUGCGAGGGCCUCUCAUGGGAGAAAAGUGGAGAUGUCUAUUGGUCUCCAAAAGUGGGGACAGCUCACGAAGAGCUCUGGAAGCCUGGGAGACGGCCGUGGAGCAGAGAGCCGAGUGCACAGGCUGCCCCUCCCCCAGCCACCCCAGCAAAGGAUUAUCCGGCCUAAAAUGCUGAUCCUGGCGAGGCUGAGGAUCCCUGGCCUACGGCGUCACAAGUCCAUUGAAGAGCGUUGCUGAGUUGCUGGAUGGAUAGAUGCUGACUCACAGUCCCCAGGUAGGAUUUUCCUGAGCAAUGAGCCAGAAACACAACUCAACAUGCCCUUCCGGUUGUGAUUUUCACACACACCUUAACGAUUCUUCUUUUUUCUUCAAAGCUUCUUUGAAGUCUGUGGAACUGGUUAAGAAAUGCAGGAGGCGAGAAGGACAAACUCACGGCUACAACCUGUUUGAAACCUAAUUCUGGCCGCCAUCCAGGAGGCUCUGAGACGUGGUGUCUUGUAUUUAUCACACUGGCAUUUAUCAUGACUAUCAGAUGACGGCCUUGAAGGUUGAAGAUGACUACAGAAAGGUUUGGGUUUCACAGAUUUUUCUUGGUAGCUUGGCCCUUUCCUCAUUUUGUAACCUUACAAGCGGUUACGGUGACCAUAUGGCCAGACUCACCUGCAAUAGUCACGGUUUGCCCCUAAUGCACUGGAGAGAUUAUUCAUAGCACCUCUUUUUACCAUCACAAGUGUCCUGGCUAAGGCAAUAAAUUAUAUGGCCACCUUCCUAUUAAUUGGCCA
RNAcentral lists this long non-coding RNA (1017 nucleotides) under Sus scrofa (pig). Its description in RNAcentral is "lncRNA (ENSSSCG00070001584.1)". Lineage: Eukaryota; Metazoa; Chordata; Mammalia; Artiodactyla; Suidae. The record is from RNAcentral.